AGGAAUAUUGGUCAAUGGACGAGAGUCUGAACCAGCCAAGUAGCGUGCAGGAAGACGGCCCUAUGGGUUGUAAACUGCUUUUAUAAGGGAAUAAAGUGAGUCUCGUGAGACUUUUUGCAUGUACCUUAUGAAUAAGGACCGGCUAAUUCCGUGCCAGCAGCCGCGGUAAUACGGAAGGUCCGGGCGUUAUCCGGAUUUAUUGGGUUUAAAGGGAGCGUAGGCCGGAGAUUAAGCGUGUUGUGAAAUGUAGAUGCUCAACAUCUGAACUGCAGCGCGAACUGGUUUCCUUGAGUACGCACAAAGUGGGCGGAAUUCGUGGUGUAGCGGUGAAAUGCUUAGAUAUCACGAAGAACUCCGAUUGCGAAGGCAGCUCACUGGAGCGCAACUGACGCUGAAGCUCGAAAGUGCGGGUAUCGAACAGGAUUAGAUACCCUGGUAGUCCGCACGGUAAACGAUGGAUGCCCGCUGUUGGUCUGAAUAGGUCAGCGGCCAAGCGAAAGCAUUAAGCAUCCCACCUGGGGAGUACGCCGGCAACGGUGAAACUCAAAGGAAUUGACGGGGGCCCGCACAAGCGGAGGAACAUGUGGUUUAAUUCGAUGAUACGCGAGGAACCUUACCCGGGCUUGAAUUGCAGAGGAAGGAUUUGGAGACAAUGACGCCCUUCGGGGUCUCUGUGAAGGUGCUGCAUGGUUGUCGUCAGCUCGUGCCGUGAGGUGUCGGCUUAAGUGCCAUAACGAGCGCAACCCCUCUCCUUAGUUGCCAUCAGGUUAAGCUGGGCACUCUGGGGACACUGCCACCGUAAGGUGUGAGGAAGGUGGGGAUGACGUCAAAUCAGCACGGCCCUUACGUCCGGGGCUACACACGUGUUACAAUGGCAGGUACAGAGAGACGGUCCCUUGCAAAAUGGAUCAAAUCCUUAAAGCCUGUCUCAGUUCGGACUGGGGUCUGCAACCCGACCCCACGAAGCUGGAUUCGCUAGUAAUCGCGCAUCAGCCAUGGCGCGGUGAAUACGUUCCCG
This 1018-nucleotide ribosomal RNA is filed under the name uncultured bacterium. RNAcentral's name for it is "bacterial SSU rRNA". It matches the Rfam family "Bacterial small subunit ribosomal RNA", at positions 357 to 1376 of the family's 1533-position model. The record is from RNAcentral.